GGGAGGGGCUAUUGGAGGAGAGGGAGGGGGGUUAGGACAGCAGCAGGAGCUCCUGGUAAUUGAAAAGCUGGCGCUUGGCUGGAACUCGGCUGCCGACUCCACCUUGUGACCUCUAAUUGAGAGCCCUCCCAUUGAUUUCUUGAGCGAGGGGGGAAGAAGAGAGGAGAGUGUACAGGUUGGCCGGCGGGGGGGACAGGUGGAUGAAGAAGAAGUGUGUUCAGCAGCAGGUUACUGAGAGAUUGAAUGCAUGUAUUAACACAAGACACCUUUUAUGCAACAAGGGUCUAGCUCUGGUCCAGGGCUUUGUGAUGCUGAGAUAUACAUUAACCUCCUGGACCGGAGCGAAGAGGAAACUAUCCUCUGUACUAUUAGAAGUAGGUCAUCAUCACUGAACUCGCCAUCACUCUUGACGCUGAGACACAAGCGUCCAAAUGGUGUAUGUAUAUUGUACCCGUAUUCAAUAGGACUUCCAUAGUCUCAACAGAUACUAGUAUCGCUGUCGACCGUCCAGACUUAGGAGCUGGUGUAGCCUUGGAAACCCGUAAGGGAUUAGUCCAUGUAAAGACUUCACACAAUGGAACUGCCUCACAACUGUGAACAGAGAACUGCUUCUCUAAUUGUUCCAACAUUGUCUUGGGAGGUUUUUUUUCCGACGGUGAGUAGCGUAGGAAGGAUGUUGCUAGUUUGGAGUUUCUUGAUUGCCAGAUUGGAGACGGUUGGAUCCUUCUCGUGUGAACAGACUGCGCCAACACGGAGGAAGCAGGCAGGGAUAACAUUUUGUUCAGUUACUGUGAUGGAUGUAUCGAUACAUAUGUAGACAUUCAUUUAAUAUGUUAUCUAUGUUAUAUGAAAAUAAAUGUUUGAUGCAUUUGUCAAAUUUUUAACGUUUUUUUUUUGUCACGUGCGCUAGUAUAGUGUAAUGCCUUUCUUGAAUGCUCUUUCUCAAUAACAAAGUCAAGUAGAACAACACAAGAAAUUGAAUUCAGAAGAACACGAGAAUGUAGGUAAGCUAUAUACAGGGUAAUUUCCAGUACCAUAUUAACAAUGCGCAGGGAUACUGUAGUGAUGGAGGUAGAUAUGUAUAGGGGGAAGGGAUUAGGGAUACUGUAGUGAUGGAGGUAGAUAUGUAUAGGGGGAAGGGGACAGGGAUACUGGAGUGAUGGAGGUAGAUAUGUAUAGGGGGAAGGAGACAGGGAUACUGGAGUGAUGGAGGUAGAUAUGUAUAGGGGACAGGGAUACUGUAGUGAUGGAGGUAGAUAUGUAUAGGGGACAGGGAUACUGGAGUGAUGGAGGUAGAUAUGUGUAGGGGGAAGG
This 1314-nucleotide long non-coding RNA is filed under the name Salmo salar (Atlantic salmon). Its description in RNAcentral is "lncRNA (ENSSSAG00000111834.1)". Lineage: Eukaryota; Metazoa; Chordata; Actinopteri; Salmoniformes; Salmonidae. The record is from RNAcentral.